Molecule: ribosomal RNA, 466 nt
Filed under: Vreelandella stevensii
Lineage: Bacteria; Pseudomonadati; Pseudomonadota; Gammaproteobacteria; Oceanospirillales; Halomonadaceae
Description: partial 16S ribosomal RNA
Rfam family: Bacterial small subunit ribosomal RNA
Source: RNAcentral
CCUACGGGUGGCUGCAGUGGGGAAUAUUGGACAAUGGGCGAAAGCCUGAUCCAGCCAUGCCGCGUGUGUGAAGAAGGCCUUCGGGUUGUAAAGCACUUUCAGUGGGGAAGAAAGCCUUGGGGCUAAUACCCUCGAGGAAGGACAUCACCCACAGAAGAAGCACCGGCUAACUCCGUGGCCAGCAGCCGCGGUAAUACGGAGGGUGCGAGCGUUAAUCGGAAUUACUGGGCGUAAAGCGCGCGUAGGCGGUCUGAUAAGCCGGUUGUGAAAGCCCCGGGCUCAACCUGGGAACGGCAUCCGGAACUGUCAGGCUAGAGUGCAGGAGAGGAAGGUAGAAUUCCCGGUGUAGCGGUGAAAUGCGUAGAGAUCGGGAGGAAUACCAGUGGCGAAGGCGGCCUUCUGGACUGACACUGACGCUGAGGUGCGAAAGCGUGGGUAGCAAACAGGAUUAGAUACCCCAGUAGUC